CAGCAGCCGCGGGAAUACGUAGGGUGCAAGCGUUAUUCGGAAUUAUUGGGCGUAAAGAGCUCGUAGGCGGUUUGUCGCGUCUGCUGUGAAAACUGGAGGCUCAACCUCCAGCCUGCAGUGGGUACGGGCAGACUAGAGUGCGGUAGGGGAGAUUGGAAUUCCUGGUGUAGCGGUGGAAUGCGCAGAUAUCAGGAGGAACACCGAUGGCGAAGGCAGAUCUCUGGGCCGUAACUGACGCUGAGGAGCGAAAGCAUGGGGAGCGAACAGGAUUAGAUACCCCUGUAGUCCCUGUCUCUUAUAC
This 301-nucleotide ribosomal RNA is filed under the name uncultured bacterium. Its description in RNAcentral is "partial 16S ribosomal RNA". It matches the Rfam family "Bacterial small subunit ribosomal RNA", at positions 509 to 807 of the family's 1533-position model. The record is from RNAcentral.